GAUCUCUUGAGCUAAAGAGAAGAUUUGAGGUUUUUGAAGUGUUCUUGAGCAAAGAGGUUGUACUAGAAACUCGCGUCAUCACAUGCCAAAUCUUCCUCGUAUUAAGGGUGAUCAUUGUAUACAAUUAGGAUAUUGUUAAAUCUGAUGCGGCAAGGCAAGACUAUGAAAGGUAGUGGAUAUUCUUUGGAGGAGUAUGCAAAACAAACCUAAUCGAUGAAGAAUGCAAAGUCUGACAUUUGAUGCAUUGAUUGUAGGAAUUUUUUGAAAGUGAAAUGAAAACAAUGACUUCUUAUUUAUGGCUGUAAGACUCUUUGAAAGUGAAAUGCAAACAAUGAAUUUUUUAUUAUGA
Molecule: long non-coding RNA, 349 nt
Organism: Macadamia integrifolia
Lineage: Eukaryota; Viridiplantae; Streptophyta; Magnoliopsida; Proteales; Proteaceae
Exons: 3
Source: RefSeq, a predicted model, not a curated record